This 468-nucleotide ribosomal RNA is filed under the name uncultured bacterium. RNAcentral describes it as "partial 16S ribosomal RNA". It matches the Rfam family "Bacterial small subunit ribosomal RNA", at positions 28 to 507 of the family's 1533-position model. The record is from RNAcentral.
GACGAACGCUGGCGGCGUGCCUAACACAUGCAAGUCGAACGGAAACGCCCUGCUUUUGUGCGGUUCUCGAGUGCCGAACGCGGGAGUAUCACGUGAGUAACCUGCCCUUGUCUUUGGGAUAACUUCAGGAAACUGGAGUUAAUAUCGGACAGGAGCCCCUGCAGCAUGGUGGGGAUGGGAAAGUUUCGCCGGUUGGGGAUGGACUCGCGGCUUAUCAGCUUGUUGGUUGGGUAGUGGCUUACCAAGGCAUUGACGGGUAGCCGGCCUGGGAGGGUGACCGGGCACAAUGGGCCUGAGGUAGGGCCCAGAGGGGAACGGGGGCCAGGGGUGGGAAACAUUGCGCAGAGGGCCGGAGUCGGGGACAGCGACGUCGGGUGCGGAAAGACGGUUUGUGGGGAAUAAACCGCAUUAGGCUGCGACGAAGCGUGAGUGACGGUAACGAGUAAAGAAGCACCGGCUAACUACGUG